UACGUAGGUGGCAAGCGUUGUCCGGAUUUACUGGGCGUAAAGAGCGCGCAGGCGGUUGGAUAAGUCGAAUGUGAAAGCCCCCGGCUCAACUGGGGAGGGUCAUUCGAUACUGUCCGACUCGAAGGCAGGAGAGGGAAGCGGAAUUCCCGGUGUAGUGGUGAAAUUCGUAGAUAUCAGGAGGGACACCAGUGGCGAAGGCGGCUUCCUGGACAACAACUGACGCUGAGACGCGAAAGCGUGGGGAGCAAACAGG
Molecule: ribosomal RNA, 253 nt
Filed under: uncultured bacterium
Lineage: Bacteria
Description: partial 16S ribosomal RNA
Rfam family: Bacterial small subunit ribosomal RNA
Source: RNAcentral